CCUACGGGGGGCAGCAGUGAGGAAUAUUGGUCAAUGGGCGCGAGCCUGAACCAGCCAAGUCGCGUGAGGGAAGACGGUCCUAUGGAUUGUAAACCUCUUUUGUCGGGGAGCAAAAGACGCCACGCGUGGCGUUCCGAGAGUACCCGACGAAAAAGCAUCGGCUAACUCCGUGCCAGCAGCCGCGGUAAUACGGAGGAUGCGAGCGUUAUCCGGAUGUAUUGGGUUGAAAGGGUGCGCAGGCGGAAGAGCAAGUCAGCGGUAAAAGUGAGAGGCUCAACCUCUUCGAGCCGUUGAAACUGGUGGUCUUGAGUGAGCGAGAGGGGUGCGGAAUGCGUGGUGUAGCGGUGAAAUGCAUAGAUAUCACGCAGAAAUCCGAUUGCGAAGGCAGCAUACCGGCGCUCAACUGACGCGCAUGCACGAAAGUGUGGGUAUCGAACAGGAUUAGAUACCCCGGUAGUC
This 459-nucleotide ribosomal RNA is filed under the name uncultured bacterium. RNAcentral describes it as "partial 16S ribosomal RNA". It matches the Rfam family "Bacterial small subunit ribosomal RNA", at positions 338 to 795 of the family's 1533-position model. The record is from RNAcentral.